Long non-coding RNA from Electrophorus electricus (electric eel), 368 nucleotides. The record is from Ensembl. NCBI's taxonomy places the organism in Eukaryota, Metazoa, Chordata, Actinopteri, Gymnotiformes, Gymnotidae.
CGCCAUUGGUUGCAGCUUGUUUGUUUAUUUUGCAGGAAGUGCUCUACAUUUUGUUCAUUUUUUCAGCAUUCCGGGAACUUUCUUCAAGUGUUACAAAGCAGAAGAAGAAAUCCCAGCAGUACAAAGGGCAAAAGAAAAAAAGGAAGAUUCCUAUUGGUAAGAGGCCAGUCAAUUUAUCUGUGAUUGGCCUGACACAGAGGAACCUGUCUGGGGAUGAGAACAUGACUCCACCUGAUUACCCAUCACCACCCACACCAUCAUCUGCUCCUGGGAACAUGCCCCUCACCUCUGCUGAUAGAGACCUGAGUGCAAACUACAAACCAGGUGGGCCCACAGUCUGCUGGCUUUCAUUUGGCAUGAAGGAAAAA